This 222-nucleotide small RNA is filed under the name Paenibacillus yonginensis. RNAcentral's name for it is "c-di-AMP sequence". It matches the Rfam family "c-di-AMP riboswitch aptamer (ydaO/yuaA leader)". Rfam says of the family: This family represents a conserved RNA structure found upstream of the ydaO and yuaA genes in Bacillus subtilis and related genes in other bacteria. The ydaO/yuaA element is thought to act as a genetic "off" switch for the ydaO and yuaA genes in its native state. The record is from Rfam by way of RNAcentral. Lineage: Bacteria; Bacillati; Bacillota; Bacilli; Caryophanales; Paenibacillaceae.
GAACCAGUCUCGCUGAAUCUCCGAAUGGAGAACGGGGGAACCGAUGCAGAAGCUUGCAGGCCACUUGAAUUAAAUUGAGCCGGAGCGAAUGCAUUUGAUUUCUUUGUGUGAGUCUAUGGGGUGAAUUUGCGAUCAACCGCCAUGAGCGGAUGAAUCAAGAUAGGACGUCUCUCAUUCGUCCGAACCCGACAGCUAACCCCGUAAGCGUAUAUGAGAGAGGCA